CAGUCGCCGCGGGAAUACGGAGGGUGCAAGCGUUAAUCGGAAUUACUGGGCGUAAAGCGCACGCAGGCGGUCUGUUAAGUCAGAUGUGAAAUCCCCGGGCUCAACCCGGGAACUGCAUUUGAAACUGGCAGGCUGGAGUCUUGUAGAGGGGGGUAGAAUUCCAGGUGUAGCGGUGAAAUGCGUAGAGAUCUGGAGGAAUACCGGUGGCGAAGGCGGCCCCCUGGACAAAGACUGACGCUCAGGUGCGAAAGCGUGGGGAGCAAACAGGAUUAGAUACCCCUGUAGUCCCUGUCUCUUAUAU
Molecule: ribosomal RNA, 301 nt
Filed under: uncultured bacterium
Lineage: Bacteria
Description: partial 16S ribosomal RNA
Rfam family: Bacterial small subunit ribosomal RNA
Source: RNAcentral